Molecule: long non-coding RNA, 675 nt
Filed under: Pan troglodytes (chimpanzee)
Lineage: Eukaryota; Metazoa; Chordata; Mammalia; Primates; Hominidae
Description: long non-coding RNA NONPTRT004873
Source: RNAcentral
GGAAUGGGCUUUGCAUCUUGCAGAGGGAUUUCUGCCAGAGGAAAUAGCAGAGGCUGAGAAGGCUGUUGUGGAAGAACAUACCUCCUUGGACUGACUUCUCAACAUACAUUACAGCCAACAUGUAACUAGGACCAGACCAUGUCAAACACUUCUCUGAGCAAAGUGGCUGAGUUUACUUCUGCGUGGGUUCCAAGGCAACAGUGUGAUCAACAAUGAGUUCUUCCCUGUCUCUGUUUUUGGCUUGUCUGGGUGCUGAAGUCCACGGCAAUACACAAUAACAUGAGCAUUUACGGUAAGCAGGUGCCUGAGUAAAAAGGAUGGGAUCUCCAAGUCUCAGCUGUCAGGGUUUAUCCUGGCCCGUUUUACUUCGCUAUUCUGGUCAUCCAGAUGGCAGAAACCUUCUGUACUGAUGUCUCUUUUUUCAUCCUCGAUGGGUUCUACAGGGAAAUUCUGGUCUGUGGCCAGGACCUGUCGGACAGUCAUGUUAACACGAGCGGUCUUCAAGUAGCUGGCACACACCUGCCAGUCCUCCAUAGAACAAGGCUCUACCAUUGAAUCUCUCGGGAGGACAGCAGGGAGAGGUGCCUCUAGGCAGUGAGGCAGGCCUUCCCCUUCUGGAUUUGGAAGGACACGAGGGACUGCGUGGUUCAAGAGGCGGCUGAAACCCGACAUUAU